GAAGGUAUAGCUCAGUGGUAAAGCACAUGCUUAGCAUGCAUGAGGUCCUGGGUUCAAUCACCAGUACCUCUA
This 72-nucleotide transfer RNA is filed under the name Camelus bactrianus (Bactrian camel). It matches the Rfam family "tRNA". From Rfam's summary of the family: Transfer RNA (tRNA) molecules are approximately 80 nucleotides in length. Their secondary structure includes four short double-helical elements and three loops (D, anti-codon, and T loops). Lineage: Eukaryota; Metazoa; Chordata; Mammalia; Artiodactyla; Camelidae. RNAcentral also lists the same sequence under 2 other names. The record is from Rfam by way of RNAcentral.